GAAAUUCGUAGAUAUUAGAAAGAAUACCAAUUGCGAAGGCAGCUUUCUGGAUCAUUACUGACACUGAGGAACGAAAGCAUGGGUAGCGAAGAGGAUUAGAUACCCUCGUAGUCCAUGCCGUAAACGAUGUGUGUUAGACGUUGGAAAUUUAUUUUCAGUGUCGCAGCGAAAGCGAUAAACACACCGCCUGGGGAGUACGACCGCAAGGUUAAAACUCAAAUGAAUUGACGGGGACCCGCACAAGUAGUGGAGCAUGUGGUUUAAUUCGAAGAUACGCGCAGAACCUUACCAACACUUGACAUGUUCGUCGCGACUUUAAGAGAUUAAAGUUUUCGGUUCGGCCGGACGAAACACAGGUGCUGCAUGGCUGUCGUCAGCUCGUGUCGUGAGAUGUUGGGUUAAGUCCCGCAACGAGCGCAACCCUCACUUUUAGUUGCCAUCAUUAAGUUGGGCACUCUGAAAGAACUGCCAGUGAUAAGCUGGAGGAAGGUGGGGAUGACGUCAAGUCCUCAUGGCCCUUACGUGUUGGGCUACACACGUGCUACAAUGGUAUCUACAACAGGAAGCAAAACGGCGACGUUAAGCAAAUCCUUAAAAGAUACCUCAGUUCGGAUUGUACUCUGCAACUCGAGUACAUGAAGCUGGAAUUACUAGUAAUCGUGGAUCAGCGUGCCACGGUGAAUGCGUUCCCGGGUCUUGUACACACCGCCCGUCACACCAUGGGAGUUGGUUCUACCUUAAGGCAAGGCUUAAAACCCUUGACCACGGUAUAGUCAGCGACUGGGGUGAAGUCGUAACAAGGUAACCGUA
This 810-nucleotide ribosomal RNA is filed under the name uncultured bacterium. Its description in RNAcentral is "bacterial SSU rRNA". It matches the Rfam family "Bacterial small subunit ribosomal RNA", at positions 683 to 1504 of the family's 1533-position model. The record is from RNAcentral.